CUGCAGCCCGAGUGGUGGUCGAUAUUAUUGAGCCUAAAGCGUCCGUAGCCGGACUAGUAAACCCUUGGGUAAAUUGGGCAGCUUAACUGUCCGAAUUCCGAGGGGACUGCUAGUCUUGGGACCGGGAGAGGUCAGAGGUACUCCAGGGGUAGGGGCUAAAUCCUGUAAUCCUUUGGGGACCACCAGUGGCGAAGGCGUCUGACUAGAACGGAUCCGACGGUAAGGGACGAAACCCUGGGGCGCGAACCGGAUUAGAUACCCCUGUAGUCC
RNAcentral lists this ribosomal RNA (270 nucleotides) under uncultured archaeon. Its description in RNAcentral is "partial 16S ribosomal RNA". It matches the Rfam family "Archaeal small subunit ribosomal RNA", at positions 477 to 747 of the family's 1478-position model. The record is from RNAcentral.